Molecule: ribosomal RNA, 1485 nt
Filed under: metagenome
Description: bacterial SSU rRNA
Rfam family: Bacterial small subunit ribosomal RNA
Source: RNAcentral
GCGUGCUUAAUACAUGCAAGUCGAGCGAGAAAGUGGGGGCAACCCCAUGAGUACAGCGGCGAACGGGUGAGUAACACGUAAGCAAUCUACCUCUAAAUCUGGAAUAACUCUGCCAACGCGGGGCUAAUGCCGGAUGUGGUCGCUGGUCCGCAUGGAUCGGCGAUUAAAAAUAACCUCUUCUUGAAAGUUAUUGUUUGGAGAUGAGCUUGCGUACCAUUAGCUAGUUGGUGAGGUAAUGGCUCACCAAGGCUGUGAUGGUUAGCCGGCCUGAGAGGGUGAUCGGCCACAUUGGGACUGAGAUACGGCCCAGACUCCUACGGGAGGCAGCAGUAGGGAAUUUUGCGCAAUGGGCGAAAGCCUGACGCAGCAACGCCGCGUGAGUGAUGAAGUCCUUCGGGAUGUAAAGCUCUGUUGAGUGGGAAGAAAAGUUAUUAGUCUAAUAGACUAGUGAUAUGACGGUACCAUUCGAGUAAGCACCGGCUAACUACGUGCCAGCAGCCGCGGUAAUACGUAGGGUGCAAGCGUUGUUCGGAAUCACUGGGUGUAAAGGGAGCGUAGGCGGGUUUAUAAGUUGGAAGUUUAAUACACGGGCUUAACCCGUGCAGGGCUUUCAAGACUGUAUAUCUUGAGUAUGGGAGAGGGUGAUGGAAUUCCAGGUGUAGCGGUGGAAUGCGUAGAUAUCUGGAAGAACACCAGCUGCGAAGGCGGUCGCCUGGCCCAAUACUGACGCUGAGGCUCGAAAGCUAGGGGAGCAAACAGGAUUAGAUACCCUGGUAGUCCUAGCUGUAAACGAUGGACACUAGACGUUGGGGAAUUAUUUCUUCAGCGUCGUAGCUAACGCGUUAAGUGUCCCACCUGGGAAGUACGCUCGCAAGGGUGAAACUCAAAGGAAUUGACGGGGGCCCGCACAAGCGGUGGAGCAUGUGGUUUAAUUCGAUGCAACGCGAAGAACCUUACCUGGGCUUGACAUGGGGAUGAAAGUUUCCAGAGAUGGAGACCCUUCCGCAAGGAACGUCCUACACAGGUGCUGCAUGGUUGUCGUCAGCUCGUGUCGUGAGAUGUUGGGUUAAGUCCCGCAACGAGCGCAACCCUCGCCCUUAGUUGCCAACAGGUUAAGCUGGGAACUCUAAGGGGACUGCCUAGCAUAACUAGGAGGAAGGUGAGGAUGACGUCAAAUCAUCAUGGCCCUUACGUCCAGGGCUACACACGUGCUACAAUGGCCAGUACAGAGGGCUGCAAGGCUGCGAAGCUAAGCUAAUCCCACAAAACUGGUCUCAGUUCGGAUUGGAGUCUGCAAUUCGACUCCAUGAAGCUGGAAUCGCUAGUAAUCGCGGAUCAGCAUGCCGCGGUGAAUACGUUCCCGGGCCUUGUACACACCGCCCGUCAAGCCAUGAAAGGUGGGAGUACCCGAAGUUACCAGUCUAACCGCAAGGAAGACAGUACCUAAGGUAAGACCACUAAUUGGGGCUAAGUCGGAACAAGGUA